Molecule: non-coding RNA, 28 nt
Filed under: Rattus norvegicus (Norway rat)
Lineage: Eukaryota; Metazoa; Chordata; Mammalia; Rodentia; Muridae
Source: RNAcentral
UGUCCAAGAACUCCACUGUUGCAGGGCA